This 534-nucleotide ribosomal RNA is filed under the name Arsenophonus endosymbiont of Bemisia tabaci. RNAcentral describes it as "partial 23S ribosomal RNA". It matches the Rfam family "Bacterial large subunit ribosomal RNA", at positions 175 to 750 of the family's 2925-position model. Lineage: Bacteria; Pseudomonadati; Pseudomonadota; Gammaproteobacteria; Enterobacterales; Morganellaceae. The record is from RNAcentral.
CGAGGCAAACCGGGGAAACUGAAACAUCUCAGUACCCCGAGGAAAAGAAAUCAACCGAGAUUCCCCCAGUAGCGGCGAGCGAACAGGGAGCAGCCCAGAGUCAACAUCAAUAUUUACCGCAGGAGAAAGAUCUGGAAAGGCCGGCAAUAAAGGGUGAUAGCCCCGUAUCUGAAGCGGUAAGUGUUGUGAACUCGAAGAGUAAGGCGGGACACGUGUUAUCCUGUCUGAAUAUGGGGGGACCAUCCUCCAAGGCUAAAUACUCCUGACUGACCGAUAGUGAACCAGUACCGUAAGGGAAAGGCGAAAAGAACCCCGGCGAGGGGAGUGAAAUAGAACCUGAAACCGUGUACGUACAAGCAGUAGGAGCACCCGAAAAGGUGUGACUGCGUACCUUUUGUAUAAUGGGUCAGCGACUUAUAUUCUGUAGCAAGGUUAACCGCAUAGGGGAGCCGUAGGGAAACCGAGUCUUAACUGGGCGUUAAGUUGCAGGGUAUAGACCCGAAACCCGGUGAUCUAGCCAUGGGCAGGUUGAAG